Molecule: ribosomal RNA, 1246 nt
Filed under: Candidatus Phytoplasma citri
Lineage: Bacteria; Bacillati; Mycoplasmatota; Mollicutes; Acholeplasmatales; Acholeplasmataceae
Description: bacterial SSU rRNA
Rfam family: Bacterial small subunit ribosomal RNA
Source: RNAcentral
GAACGACUGCUAAGACUGGAUAGGAAGAUAAAAGGCAUCUUUUAUCUUUUAAAAGACCUAGUAAUAGGUAUGCUUUAGGAGGGGCUUGCGCCAUAUUAGUUAGUUGGUAGGGUAAUGGCCUACCAAGACGAUGAUGUGUAGCUGGACUGAGAGGUUGAACAGCCACAUUGGGACUGAGACACGGCCCAAACUCCUACGGGAGGCAGCAGUAGGGAAUUUUCGGCAAUGGAGGAAACUCUGACCGGGCAACGCCGCGUGAAUGACGAAGUACUUCGGUAUGUAAAGUUCUUUUAUCAAGGAAGAAAAGCAAAUGGCGAACCAUUUGUUUGCCGGUACUUGAUGAAUAAGCCCCGGCUAAUUAUGUGCCAGCAGCCGCGGUAAGACAUAAGGGGCAAGUGUUAUCCGGAAUUAUUGGGCGUAAAGGGUGCGUAGGCGGUCUAGUAAGUCAGUGGUGUAAUGGCAACGCUUAACGUUGUCCGGCUAUUGAAACUGCUAAACUUGAGUUAGAUAGAGGCGAGUGGAAUUCCAUGUGUAGCGGUAAAAUGCGUAAAUAUAUGGAGGAACACCAGAGGCGUAGGCGGCUCGCUGGGUCUUAACUGACGCUGAGGCACGAAAGCGUGGGGAGCAAACAGGAUUAGAUACCCUGGUAGUCCACGCCGUAAACGAUGAGUACUAAGUGUCGGGUUAAACCGGUACUGAAGUUAACACAUUAAGUACUCCGCCUGAGUAGUACGUACGCAAGUAUGAAACUUAAAGGAAUUGACGGGACUCCGCACAAGCGGUGGAUCAUGUUGUUUAAUUCGAAGAUACCCGAAAAACCUUACCAGGUCUUGACAUGUUUUUGUAAAAUGAUAGUAAUAUCGUGGAGGUUACCAGAAACACAGGUGGUGCAUGGUUGUCGUCAGCUCGUGUCGUGAGAUGUUAGGUUAAGUCCUAAAACGAGCGGAACCCUUAUCGUUAGUUGCCAGCACGUUAUGGUGGGGACUUUAACGAGACUGCCAAUGAUAAGUUGGAGGAAGGUGAGGAUCACGUCAAAUCAGCAUGCCCCUUAUGACCUGGGCUACAAACGUGAUACAAUGGCUGUUACAAAGGGUAGCUGAAGCGCAAGUUCUUGGCCAAUCCCCAAAAACAGUCCCAGUCCGGAUUGAAGUCUGCAACUCGACUUCAUGAAGUUGGAAUCGCUAGUAAUCGCGAAUCAGCAUGUCGCGGUGAAUACGUUCACGGGGUUUGUACACACCGCCCGUCA